RNAcentral lists this long non-coding RNA (327 nucleotides) under Vigna radiata. Its description in RNAcentral is "long non-coding RNA (VRAD_LNC015268)". The record is from RNAcentral. Lineage: Eukaryota; Viridiplantae; Streptophyta; Magnoliopsida; Fabales; Fabaceae.
GUUGAAUAGGGGGUUCACAGUUGACAACCAAGAUGAAGGCAAAUGACUCCCUUUCUCUCUGGCCGUGAAGUCCUUUGCUCUUUCGUUCUCAUGGUUGAUGUGGAGUGAGAUGUGAAUAAUGCUCUUUUCCUUCUCUGUUUUAUCUCCUUUGUCGCCAACGCUUGAGAAAUUGAUUUUUCCUUGUUUUCUUCUUUCUGCGAUUGUGGAUUUGUUGGAUACCUUCUUGUAGAUGAAUGGCAGCUGCCACCACAGAUGAUGGACGAAGGUCGAAGAUGACGGUAAAUAGAGAUUGCUUAUUUUGCCGAGGAGGUUAGACGCAACCAGCGG